Molecule: unclassified non-coding RNA, 336 nt
Filed under: soil metagenome
Description: partial contains 5.8S ribosomal RNA, internal transcribed spacer 2, and large subunit ribosomal RNA
Rfam family: 5.8S ribosomal RNA (bases 1-120)
Source: RNAcentral
GAUGAAGAACGUAGAGAAAUGCGAUAAGUAAUGUGAAUUGCAGAAUUCAGUGAAUCAUCGAAUCUUUGAACGCACAUUGCGCCCGCCAGUAUUCUGGCGGGCAUGCCUGUUCGAGCGUCAUUUCAACCAUCAAGCCCCCGGCUUGUGUUGGGGACCUGCGGCUGCCGCAGGCCCUGAAAACCAGUGGCGGGCUCGCUGUCACACCGAGCGUAGUAGAUUUUCAUCUCGCUCAGGGCGUGCUGCGGGUUCCGGCCGUAAAAAGCCUUAUUUACCCAAGGUUGACCUCGGAUCAGGUAGGAAGACCCGCUGAACUUAAGCAUAUCAAUAAGCGGAGGA